This 1649-nucleotide ribosomal RNA is filed under the name Escherichia coli. RNAcentral describes it as "partial 23S ribosomal RNA". It matches the Rfam family "Bacterial large subunit ribosomal RNA", at positions 55 to 1746 of the family's 2925-position model. The record is from RNAcentral. Lineage: Bacteria; Pseudomonadati; Pseudomonadota; Gammaproteobacteria; Enterobacterales; Enterobacteriaceae.
GACGUGCUAAUCUGCGAUAAGCGUCGGUAAGGUGAUAUGAACCGUUAUAACCGGCGAUUUCCGAAUGGGGAAACCCAGUGUGAUUCGUCACACUAUCAUUAACUGAAUCCAUAGGUUAAUGAGGCGAACCGGGGGAACUGAAACAUCUAAGUACCCCGAGGAAAAGAAAUCAACCGAGAUUCCCCCAGUAGCGGCGAGCGAACGGGGAGCAGCCCAGAGCCUGAAUCAGUGUGUGUGUUAGUGGAAGCGUCUGGAAAGGCGCGCGAUACAGGGUGACAGCCCCGUACACAAAAAUGCACAUACUGUGAGCUCGAUGAGUAGGGCGGGACACGUGGUAUCCUGUCUGAAUAUGGGGGGACCAUCCUCCAAGGCUAAAUACUCCUGACUGACCGAUAGUGAACCAGUACCGUGAGGGAAAGGCGAAAAGAACCCCGGCGAGGGGAGUGAAAAAGAACCUGAAACCGUGUACGUACAAGCAGUGGGAGCACGCUUAGGCGUGUGACUGCGUACCUUUUGUAUAAUGGGUCAGCGACUUAUAUUCUGUAGCAAGGUUAACCGAAUAGGGGAGCCGAAGGGAAACCGAGUCUUAACUGGGCGUUAAGUUGCAGGGUAUAGACCCGAAACCCGGUGAUCUAGCCAUGGGCAGGUUGAAGGUUGGGUAACACUAACUGGAGGACCGAACCGACUAAUGUUGAAAAAUUAGCGGAUGACUUGUGGCUGGGGGUGAAAGGCCAAUCAAACCGGGAGAUAGCUGGUUCUCCCCGAAAGCUAUUUAGGUAGCGCCUCGUGAAUUCAUCUCCGGGGGUAGAGCACUGUUUCGGCAAGGGGGUCAUCCCGACUUACCAACCCGAUGCAAACUGCGAAUACCGGAGAAUGUUAUCACGGGAGACACACGGCGGGUGCUAACGUCCGUCGUGAAGAGGGAAACAACCCAGACCGCCAGCUAAGGUCCCAAAGUCAUGGUUAAGUGGGAAACGAUGUGGGAAGGCCCAGACAGCCAGGAUGUUGGCUUAGAAGCAGCCAUCAUUUAAAGAAAGCGUAAUAGCUCACUGGUCGAGUCGGCCUGCGCGGAAGAUGUAACGGGGCUAAACCAUGCACCGAAGCUGCGGCAGCGACGCUGAUGCGUUGUUGGGUAGGGGAGCGUUCUGUAAGCCUGUGAAGGUGUGCUGUGAGGCAUGCUGGAGGUAUCAGAAGUGCGAAUGCUGACAUAAGUAACGAUAAAGCGGGUGAAAAGCCCGCUCGCCGGAAGACCAAGGGUUCCUGUCCAACGUUAAUCGGGGCAGGGUGAGUCGACCCCUAAGGCGAGGCCGAAAGGCGUAGUCGAUGGGAAACAGGUUAAUAUUCCUGUACUUGGUGUUACUGCGAAGGGGGGACGGAGAAGGCUAUGUUGGCCGGGCGACGGUUGUCCCGGUUUAAGCGUGUAGGCUGGUUUUCCAGGCAAAUCCGGAAAAUCAAGGCUGAGGCGUGAUGACGAGGCACUACGGUGCUGAAGCAACAAAUGCCCUGCUUCCAGGAAAAGCCUCUAAGCAUCAGGUAACAUCAAAUCGUACCCCAAACCGACACAGGUGGUCAGGUAGAGAAUACCAAGGCGCUUGAGAGAACUCGGGUGAAGGAACUAGGCAAAAUGGUGCCGUAACUUCGGGAGAAGG